UUUAAUUGCAGUUGUAGGUUUUAGUGUUUAAUGUUUGUCCGUCUUAUUUAAAUUAUUUUAUAAUUACUAUUUAUAUUGUUAUUAGAUGAUAAAAUAUGAAUAUUACUCAUGCAUGAAUCAAGUUUUUAAUUUUUUUUAUAAUUUAUUUAAAUAAGAUAGACGGUUAAACGUUUAGUACAGAAACCCACGACUGUACUAAAA
This 201-nucleotide microRNA precursor is filed under the name Oryza nivara. Its description in RNAcentral is "MIR812 microRNA precursor family". It matches the Rfam family "MIR812 microRNA precursor family". The record is from Rfam by way of RNAcentral. Lineage: Eukaryota; Viridiplantae; Streptophyta; Magnoliopsida; Poales; Poaceae.